This 446-nucleotide ribosomal RNA is filed under the name uncultured bacterium. RNAcentral's name for it is "bacterial SSU rRNA". It matches the Rfam family "Bacterial small subunit ribosomal RNA", at positions 330 to 793 of the family's 1533-position model. The record is from RNAcentral.
UCCAGACUCCUACGGGAGGCAGCAGUGGGGAAUAUUGCACAAUGGGGGGAACCCUGAUGCAGCGACGCCGCGUGGGUGAAGGAGUACUUCGGUACGUAAAGCCCUAUCAGCAGGAAAGAAAAUGACGGUACCUGGCUAAGAAGCCCCGGCUAACUACGUGCCAGCAGCCGCGGUAAUACGUAGGGAGCAAGCGUUGUCCGGAAUUACUGGGCGUAAAGGGCGCGUAGGUGGUAUGUCAAGUCAAGGGUGAAAUCCCCGCGCUCAACGUGGGAACUGCCUUUGAAACUGGCAAACUGGAGUGUGUGAGAGGAUAGUGGAAUUCCAGGUGUAGGAGUGAAAUCCGUAGAUAUCUGGAGGAACAUCAGUGGCGAAGGCGACUAUCUGGCACAUAACUGACGCUGAGGAGCGAAAGCGUGGGUAGCAAACAGGAUUAGAUACCCCCGUAC